Molecule: ribosomal RNA, 249 nt
Filed under: uncultured Rhodospirillales bacterium
Lineage: Bacteria; Pseudomonadati; Pseudomonadota; Alphaproteobacteria; Rhodospirillales
Description: partial 16S ribosomal RNA
Rfam family: Bacterial small subunit ribosomal RNA
Source: RNAcentral
UGGGGAAUCUUGGACAAUGGGGGCAACCCUGAUCCAGCGACGCCGCGUGGGUGAUGAAGGCCUUCGGGUUGUAAAGCCCUUUUCCUGGGGACGAUGAUGACGGUACCCGGGGAAUAAGCACCGGCUAACUCCGUGCCAGCAGCCGCGGUAAGACGGAGGGUGCUCGCGUUGUUCGGAAUGACUGGGCGUAAAGGGCGCGUAGGCGGCUUCGUGCGUCGGGGGUGAAAGCCCGGGGCUCAACCCCGGGAC